Molecule: ribosomal RNA, 253 nt
Filed under: uncultured bacterium
Lineage: Bacteria
Description: partial 16S ribosomal RNA
Rfam family: Bacterial small subunit ribosomal RNA
Source: RNAcentral
UACGUAGGGUGCGAGCGUUGUCCGGAAUUAUUGGGCGUAAAGAGCUCGUAGGCGGUCUGUCGCGUCGGAUGUGAAAACCCAGGGCUCAACUCUGGGCCUGCAUUCGAUACGGGCAGACUAGAGUAUGGCAGGGGAGACUGGAAUUCCUGGUGUAGCGGUGAAAUGCGCAGAUAUCAGGAGGAACACCGGUGGCGAAGGCGGGUCUCUGGGCCAAAACUGACGCUGAGGAGCGAAAGCGUGGGGAGCGAACAGG